UACGUAGGGUGCAAGCGUUGUCCGGAAUCAUUGGGCGUAAAGCGCGCGUAGGCGGCCCGAUAAGUCCGCUGUAAAAGUCAACGGCUCAACUGUUGAAAGCCGGUGGAUACUGCGGGGCUAGAGUGCGGAAGGGGCAACUGGAAUUCUCGGUGUAGCGGUGAAAUGCGUAGAUAUCGAGAGGAACACCUGCGGCGAAGGCGGGUUGCUGGGCCGACACUGACGCUGAUGCGCGAAAGCCAGGGGAGCGAACGGG
RNAcentral lists this ribosomal RNA (253 nucleotides) under uncultured bacterium. RNAcentral describes it as "partial 16S ribosomal RNA". It matches the Rfam family "Bacterial small subunit ribosomal RNA", at positions 524 to 776 of the family's 1533-position model. The record is from RNAcentral.